RNAcentral lists this long non-coding RNA (2042 nucleotides) under Homo sapiens (human). RNAcentral's name for it is "non-protein coding lnc-LOXHD1-1:2". Lineage: Eukaryota; Metazoa; Chordata; Mammalia; Primates; Hominidae. The record is from RNAcentral.
UUUCAAAGGCUCAGAGAGACCUGGUGUUGACUCUGGAAGCCUUCUGCCAUGUUCCUCCACAGCCCUGUCACCACGCCACCAUGCAGUGCAGACUACCCAUUGAAUUAUUAUUCAAGGGAAAUCGAUUCCCGUAAACAAAACAACCAUCAUGUCUUCCUUUGUGCUAAACCCACUGCUCCAGGCUUGAAAGGCAGCAAAAACAAGUAAAUGACUCAGUGCUUAGCCAAGCACAAAGAAAGGUGGCUCAAGGUCAGAGGCAGCGUCUGAGACCAUUUCAGCAAUGCUGCUGCGGCAGCUCUGCCCACUAAUCACCUGGUGCCCAGAGACAGCAUGUGCUCAUCGCCCUUGACUUUGCUGAGAGCAGGGAGGAAGCAGAGCAGUGCUUAGAAACAACUGAGGCAGAGUAGAGUGCUGGCCAAUUUAGUGAGUGAAUUGGUGAAUAAAUUAUAUUUAUUGAGUGCUCAUGUUGUGCCAGGCAUGGUGCCAGGUGCCGGGGAGCUAGUGAUGAACAAAACGUCGUCCCUGCCCUCCGGGAGUUUGUGGUCUGGUGUGUGUGUAUACAGACGUUAAAUGACGAAUCCCACAAACGUACGUGGGAGCUGGUUGUGCUGAACACUAUCAAAUCCAGUCUCAGGGACAGUUAUCUGGGAGAGGUGGAGGAGGGGAUGACCAAAGUCAAUUCCGAAUUCUGAAGGUUGGCAGCAUAAAAAGUGUAAUGAGCAAAGCAGCAGAUACUUCUCAGAUAUCAUCCUUGACAUCCGUGUAACAUUUGACAAGGUUGGCCUCUCUGGUCUUUUUUGUUUGUUUGUUUGAGACAGAGUCUCCCUCUGUCACCCAGGCUAGAGGGUGGUGAUAUAAAUAUGGCUCACUGCAGCCUCGACACCUGGGUUCAAGUGAUCCUCCCACCUCAGCUUCCCAAGUAGCUAGGACCACAGGCACGUGCCAUUGCUCCCAAGUGGCAGCUCCUGCCAGACUACCCCGGACUCCCGAGCCCAUCGUCCUGUACUCUUCUCCAGUGGGACGUCUGGCCCUCACUGUGGCUAGCUUCUGGGCAAGUCCCUCUGCUCAAGAUCACUUUAUGGGGCAGCUGGUGCCCCCUGGGGCUCCCACACUCUGCACAUACAAUUUAGGGACCUGGCAGGGUCUUGGUGGCCUGCAGCUUCCCUUUCUGGAACCGACUCGCCUCCCAUCAGAGAGCCAUAACUCUUCUUCAAUACAGUAUUGUUUGAACUUUGAAAUAUAUGCAUUUGUCUAUGUAUUUUCUUAAAAAUUAACACUGUAUCUCAAUAAGCAUACAAUGGAUUGUUCAAUGGUACAGUUUGGAACCAAUCCCCCGCCACUUCCCUCCCCAAGUAAAGCCAGGACAGAUGCUGGAGUCAGCAUGGGAGCUGUGGAAACCUUUUGCCCUGGAGCCAGGUGCCUGUGGCUGUGCCUGGGAGUGGCUUCAGCCCAGGCGUGGUGUCAGUUUCCUGGCACCCCUGCCCAGGAGCCUGCAUGAAGGCAGCCGGGUCUCUCUCUGAGUGGCUGGUGCACCGGCUCAUUUCUGAGUGGCCUCCUGCGUAUGAAGAAAAAGCGGCCACGUGGCAUGCCUCCCUUCCCUCCCUUGCUUUCCUCUCAAAGAGCCAAGUCACGCUGCACUGCGCUCCGUGGAGCCUUUCCCGAUGGAGAAGAGAAGGGAGGCCUGAGAUGUCCUUUGCUGGGAUGUGGAGAAACACCAUCUAUAUGAAAAGCCCCUUGCUUGCUCUGCUGAUUUUCUCCCUCCCCUGGCCCUGGAGAGAAAGGCUGUGCCAUUCAAAGACAGUUUGGGGACAUGGGGGCUGCAGGCCUGAUCUUAUUUUUAUGCAAAUUUUGUUCUGGGAGCAGUGGUUUAUACAAACUCCUGUAGCAUAAUUCCAGCUUGUGUGUGGCUGUCCUUGAGUAGUGAUUCUGAAGUGAUGACUGUGAUGCUAUGCCUAAAAACAUCAUCAGGGUACUUUGUAUCUGUCACUGUGUUUGAACGGCCCUCAAUUUCUAUCUAAUAAAACCAGUCAAAUGGUUCACCU